ACUUUUAAAGGAUAGAAGUAAUCCUCUGGCUUUAGGCGCCACGAACCUUGGUGCAAAUCCAAGUAAAAGUCC
Molecule: transfer RNA, 72 nt
Filed under: Dopasia hainanensis (Hainan glass lizard)
Lineage: Eukaryota; Metazoa; Chordata; Lepidosauria; Squamata; Anguidae
Description: tRNA-Leu
Rfam family: tRNA
About the family: Transfer RNA (tRNA) molecules are approximately 80 nucleotides in length. Their secondary structure includes four short double-helical elements and three loops (D, anti-codon, and T loops).
Source: RNAcentral